Aphidius gifuensis is the source of this 68-nucleotide small nucleolar RNA. RefSeq annotates it as small nucleolar RNA SNORD2. The record is from RefSeq and is a predicted model, not a curated record. Lineage: Eukaryota; Metazoa; Arthropoda; Insecta; Hymenoptera; Braconidae. The transcript has a single exon.
AGUUUAAAUGAUGUUUUCAUCUUUCGGGUCUGAUUAACAUUGAUGACAAUAUACCUUACUGAUAAAUU